RNAcentral lists this ribosomal RNA (402 nucleotides) under uncultured Rhizomicrobium sp. Its description in RNAcentral is "bacterial SSU rRNA". It matches the Rfam family "Bacterial small subunit ribosomal RNA", at positions 353 to 772 of the family's 1533-position model. Lineage: Bacteria; Pseudomonadati; Pseudomonadota; Alphaproteobacteria; Micropepsales; Micropepsaceae. The record is from RNAcentral.
AGUUGGGAAUCUUGGACAAUGGGGGAAACCCUGAUCCAGCCAUGCCGCGUGAGUGAUGAAGGCCUUCGGGUUGUAAAACUCUUUCGACGGGGACGAUAAUGACGGUACCCGUAGAAGAAGCUCCGGCUAACUUCGUGCCAGCAGCCGCGGUAAUACGAAGGGGGCUAGCGUUGUUCGGAAUUACUGGGCGUAAAGCGCGCGCAGGCGGUCUUCCAAGUCAGUGGUGAAAGCCUGGAGCUCAACUCCGGAACUGCCAUUGAAACUGUUGGACUUGAGGACGAGAGAGGUGAGUGGAAUUCCCAGUGUAGAGGUGAAAUUCGUAGAUAUUGGGAAGAACACCGGUGGCGAAGGCGGCUCACUGGCUCGUAUCUGACGCUCAGGCGCGAUAGCGUGGGGAUCAAA